Molecule: unclassified non-coding RNA, 513 nt
Filed under: Hevea brasiliensis (rubber tree)
Lineage: Eukaryota; Viridiplantae; Streptophyta; Magnoliopsida; Malpighiales; Euphorbiaceae
Source: RNAcentral
AAAAAAUCCAAAAUAAAAACAGAUCGACUGCGGUUUGAUGAAACAUUGAAACAAAGAACACCACUCGACUAUUUUCUCAUCCUUGUCCAUAGAUUCAAAUAUCUACUACUCUCUCGAUAAGCCAUUUGCUUCUCAGAGAUUUGACAGUUGAGGUAAAAGGGAGGGACACAACUAGCUAACAAUAAUUUCUUCACUUAUUUGCCAUAUCCGGUGGAAUACACUGCUAGUGCACCUAUUCAAGGGGUUUCAUUAUUAGCCCCGAGUUGCUGAUAAUUCACAUAGUCGAUUUCAUUUAAUCGUAUACAACAUAAGAUCUGCUCCGGCAAUUCUUCAAUUUUGUUACCCUGAAUUGUGAGGCCUACAUCCAAGGAGCAUAGCUUUAGCCUAUCUAGGAAUGUUUCGCAACCCUUUCUAGAGAUGUAACUGAAUCUGUGCAUAUCAAUAUCAAUCUCAAAAUAAUUUUCUCCCUUAUAGAACUCAUGUUGAGGACGUGAAAGAACAGGUUUUUCAUUG